RNAcentral lists this ribosomal RNA (419 nucleotides) under bacterium. RNAcentral's name for it is "partial 16S ribosomal RNA". It matches the Rfam family "Bacterial small subunit ribosomal RNA", at positions 355 to 776 of the family's 1533-position model. The record is from RNAcentral.
UGGGGGAUAUUGCACAAUGGGCGAAAGCCUGAUGCAGCGACGCCGCGUGGGGGAUGAAGGCCUUCGGGUUGUAAACUUCUUUUGCUCUGAACAAGGCAUGCUAAUGGGUGUGUUGAGUGUAGGGGUUGAUUAGCGCCGGCUAACUACGUGCCAGCAGCCGCGGUAAUACGUAGGGCGCGAGCGUUGUCCGGAAUUAUUGGGCGUACAGGGCUUGUAGGUGGCUGGUUGCGUCUGUCGUGAAAGCUCAUGGCUUAACUGUGGGUUUGCGGUGGGUACGGGCUGGCUUGAGUGCAGUAGGGGAGGCUGGAAUUCCUGGUGUAGCGGUGGAAUGCGCAGAUAUCAGGAGGAAUACCGGUGGCGAAGGCGGGUCUCUGGGCUGUUACUGACACUGAGGAGCGAAAGCAUGGGGAGCGAACAGG